Molecule: ribosomal RNA, 304 nt
Filed under: uncultured Pelotomaculum sp.
Lineage: Bacteria; Bacillati; Bacillota; Clostridia; Eubacteriales; Desulfotomaculaceae
Description: bacterial SSU rRNA
Rfam family: Bacterial small subunit ribosomal RNA
Source: RNAcentral
GGUUAAGUCCGCAACGAGCGCAACCCCUACGUUAGUUGCUAACGCGCGAAGGCGAGCACUCUAGACGAACUGCCGUUGACAAAACGGAGGAAAGGUGGGGAUGACGUCAAAUCAUCAUGCCCCUUAUGUUCUGGGCUACACACGUGCUACAAUGGCCGGUACAGACGGACGCAAAGCCGCGAGGUGGAGCAAAUCCUAAAAAGCCGGUCUCAGUUCGGAUUGCAGGCUGCAAUUCGCCUGCAUGAAGUCGGAAUCGCUAGUAAUCGCAGGUCAGCAUACUGCGGUGAAUACGUUCCCGGGCCUU